Non-coding RNA from Bombyx mori (domestic silkworm), 84 nucleotides. The record is from Rfam. NCBI's taxonomy places the organism in Eukaryota, Metazoa, Arthropoda, Insecta, Lepidoptera, Bombycidae.
UUAACUGAAAUUUGUAUGGAGUAGUAAUGUUUGCCUACAUUUGCCGCUAGGGGCGCUGUUCUAACUCCAUACAAAUUUGAGUUA